This 200-nucleotide unclassified non-coding RNA is filed under the name uncultured Tomentella. RNAcentral's name for it is "sequence contains ITS1". Lineage: Eukaryota; Fungi; Basidiomycota; Agaricomycetes; Thelephorales; Thelephoraceae. The record is from RNAcentral.
CCGAAUUGUCAACACGAGUUGUUGCUGGUCCCCAAACGGGGGCACGUGCACACUCUGUUUGCACAUCCACUCACACCUGUGCACCCUCCGUAGUUCUGCAGCCUGGGGUCUCUGUCCCCCAUGCCGUGGUUCUAUGCAUUUUACACACACACUGUAGUGAAGUCUUGUGGAAUGUAUAUCGCGUUUAACGCAAUACAAUA